AUUGACCCGCAUGUGUGCUUGGUAGAGCCCGGGGGAUGUGUGCAGCUUUUUGAGCGCACAUAAUGUUCCAAGGGAUUCUAUUUGAGCACUUGGUCAUGCUUGGACAACAACCCACAUGCAUCGAUUGCAUGGCACAACUGUGCAAUGCAAUCCCUUCCAGCACCUUAGUGCCUCGCUCGAUUAUUUUUUUUCCUAAAUCAAUAAAACUCGUAAACUCACUUAACCAUUCAUCUUAUUAAAUCGUGACGACACACAUACUUCAUCGCAUAUCAAGAAAGACAAUACUCCUAUCAUUACCUUAGGGUCAACUAUGAU
This 315-nucleotide long non-coding RNA is filed under the name Carica papaya (papaya). RNAcentral's name for it is "long non-coding RNA (CPAP_LNC005011)". The record is from RNAcentral. Lineage: Eukaryota; Viridiplantae; Streptophyta; Magnoliopsida; Brassicales; Caricaceae.